Molecule: transfer RNA, 19 nt
Filed under: Correa pulchella
Lineage: Eukaryota; Viridiplantae; Streptophyta; Magnoliopsida; Sapindales; Rutaceae
Also listed under: 2 other names
Description: partial tRNA-Lys
Source: RNAcentral
CCGACUAGUUCCGGGUUCG